ACUCCUCUUACACCAUACAGAAAGGAAGACGAAGAAAGUGAAGAUUUUCAUGAUAUCACAAAAUAUUGAAGUCUAGUAGGAGGACUAAUGUAUCUGGCAUCAACACGACCAGAUAUAUCAUUCGCAGCGUCUUAUCUAUCAAGAUAUAUGCAAGCACCUAAGCUACAACAUUAUAAAGAGGCUAUACGAGUGCUUUGUUAUAUCAAAGGAACUAGUAAUUAUGGUCUAAGUUUUCAGAAAGUUGCAGAGGCAAAGAAAGUUGGAUUCUCAGACUCAGAUUGGGCAGGAUGCAAGGAAGACAUGAAAAGCACGACAGGAUAUUGUUUUAGUCUGGGAAGCGCAGUGUUUUCAUGGCGGACACAAAAACAAGGAACAAUAGCACAAUCAACAGCAGAAGCAGAAUAUAUAGCUUUAUGUGCAGCAACAAAUCAAGUAGUAUGGCUAAGAAGACUACUAACCGAGUUAGGAUUUGAAGAGGAAGAACCGAUACCUUUGAUUUGCGACAACACCUCAGCAAUUGCAAUCGGUCGGAACCCA
Molecule: long non-coding RNA, 537 nt
Filed under: Eutrema salsugineum
Lineage: Eukaryota; Viridiplantae; Streptophyta; Magnoliopsida; Brassicales; Brassicaceae
Description: long non-coding RNA (ESAL_LNC001928)
Source: RNAcentral